AGUCAAUAGAUACCCGGGUAGUCCACGCCGUAAACGAUGAAUACUAGGUGUAGGAGGUAUCGACUCCUUCUGUGCCGCAGUUAAACACAAUAAGUAUUCCGCCUGGGGAGUACGGUCGCAAGAUUAAAACUCAAAGGAAUUGACGGGGGCCCGCACAAGCAGCGGAGCAUGUGGUUUAAUUCGAAGCAACGCGAAGAACCUUACCUAGACUUGACAUCUUCUGCAUUAAUCGUAAUGGAUGAAAUCCCUUCGGGGACAGAAUGACAGGUGGUGCAUGGUUGUCGUCAGCUCGUGUCGUGAGAUGUUGGGUUAAAGUCCCGCAACGAGCGCAACCCCUAUUAUUAGUUGCUAACAUUAAGUUGAGCACUCUAGUGAGACUGCCCGGGUUAACCGGGAGGAAGGUGGGGAUGACGUCAAAUCAUCAUGCCCCUUAUGUCUAGGGCUACACACGUGCUACAAUGGUGGGAACAAAGAGAUGCAAUACCGCGAGGUGGAGCUAAACUCAAAACCCCAUCCCAGUUCGGAUUGUAGGCUGAAACUCG
This 542-nucleotide ribosomal RNA is filed under the name uncultured bacterium. Its description in RNAcentral is "bacterial SSU rRNA". It matches the Rfam family "Bacterial small subunit ribosomal RNA", at positions 775 to 1314 of the family's 1533-position model. The record is from RNAcentral.